CACGUAGGCGGCAUGGUAAGUCAAAGGUGAAAGCCCUCGGCUCAACCGAGGAACUGCCUUUGAAACUGCUUUGCUUGAGUCCGGGAGGGGGGAGCGGAAUUCCCAGUGUAGCGGUGAAAUGCGUAGAUACUGGGAGGAACACCGGUGGCGAAGGCGGUUCCCUGGACCGGUACUGACGCUGAGGUGCGAGAGCGUGGGUAGCAAACA
This 207-nucleotide ribosomal RNA is filed under the name uncultured bacterium. RNAcentral describes it as "partial 16S ribosomal RNA". It matches the Rfam family "Bacterial small subunit ribosomal RNA", at positions 568 to 774 of the family's 1533-position model. The record is from RNAcentral.